CCAUUUAAAGUGGUACGCGAGCUGGGUUUAGAACGUCGUGAGACAGUUCGGUCCCUAUCUGCCGUGGACGUUUGAGAUUUGAGAGGGGCUGACCUUAGUACGAGAGGACCGGGUUGGACGAACCUCUGGUGUUCCGGUUGUGUCGCCAGACGCAUUGCCGGGUAGCUACGUUCGGAAAAGAUAACCGCUGAAAGCAUCUAAGCGGGAAACUUGCCUCAAGAUGAGAUCUCACCGGGAGCUUGACUCCCCUAAAGGGCCGUCGAAGACUACGACGUUGAUAGGUUGGGUGUGUAAGCGCUGUGAGGCGUUGAGCUAACCAAUACUAAUUGCCCGUGUGGCUUGACCAUAUAACACCCAAGCA
RNAcentral lists this ribosomal RNA (361 nucleotides) under Pseudomonadales bacterium. RNAcentral's name for it is "bacterial LSU rRNA". It matches the Rfam family "Bacterial large subunit ribosomal RNA", at positions 2584 to 2925 of the family's 2925-position model. Lineage: Bacteria; Pseudomonadati; Pseudomonadota; Gammaproteobacteria; Pseudomonadales. The record is from RNAcentral.